This 71-nucleotide transfer RNA is filed under the name Pleodorina starrii. RNAcentral describes it as "tRNA-iMet". It matches the Rfam family "tRNA". From Rfam's summary of the family: Transfer RNA (tRNA) molecules are approximately 80 nucleotides in length. Lineage: Eukaryota; Viridiplantae; Chlorophyta; Chlorophyceae; Chlamydomonadales; Volvocaceae. The record is from RNAcentral.
AUCGAGAUGGCGCAGGCGGAAGCGUGCGGGGCUCAUAACCCCGAGGUCCCAGAUCGUAACUGGUCUCGAAU